Molecule: ribosomal RNA, 253 nt
Filed under: uncultured bacterium
Lineage: Bacteria
Description: partial 16S ribosomal RNA
Rfam family: Bacterial small subunit ribosomal RNA
Source: RNAcentral
UACGUAGGGGGCAAGCGUUAUCCGGAAUUACUGGGUUUAAAGGGAGCGUAGACGGUAAUGUAAGUCUGGAGUGAAAGGCGGGGGCCCAACCCCCGGACUGCUCUGGAAACUAUGUUACUAGAGUGCAGGAGAGGUAAGCGGAAUUCCUAGUGUAGCGGUGAAAUGCGUAGAUAUUAGGAGGAACACCAGUGGCGAAGGCGGCUUACUGGACUGUAACUGACGUUGAGGCUCGAAAGCGUGGGGAGCAAACAGG